CUGAAUAGUUUGCACAAGAAAUGAAAUUAUCGCACUUAUUCCACAGAUAUAGCCAUUGAGGGAAUGAAGCCAAAAUUCCAUCAUCUUUGCAAGAGAAGUUUUUAAGGACUCACUUAACCCUGUGAAGCUUCUGUCCACAAGCUCAUGGUCUUUUGCUUCGCUCUGAAAAGAACAAACUGAGAUUAUUAACCUUUGCUUAAUCUGACUACACAGCCUUAUAGAAAAUAAAAAGCAUUCUAGCCACUGAAUCCUUCCAGGAGAAAAAAAAAAAAAAAAACGAGCUGAAGACAGCCUUCAUUCCAAGAGUAUUUUGGGCCACUGAUUUUUAUCACCCAGAAAUCAAUCAGAAGGGCACACAAUGCCUAGAAAUCCCAAACCAGCUACUACAUCUAAGAGGUUCAUGAAUGAAGGCCACGGUGUUUGUGAAUACAAGAGAAGAGAGAAAAUGUGUCUCGCUAGCAAAAUUCAAAGGAGAUGCCCAUCAAGAAGAAAACAAAAGCUUUCCUCUGACACCAUCUGGCAUAAGAAAGGGGCACAGCUACUAGAAGGCAAGAAUAGAAGACCUUCCUCAGAGCCACCUGCCGACCUGAGCACCUUCAGUGCCCGCCGUGAUGUUGAAAACGCUACCAAGAAGUCUGGAUGGAACAUAAUAGAAUUAUUUCAACUAAUAUAUUAUCUUCAUGAAGGUCAAUUCUGAGCACAUAUGGAACAGCUUAUGAUGCUGAACUGCAAACCACAGAGAAUGAGAUAUUGGCAAAGGAGAUGCUAUAGAAAGAACAACAACAAAAAAAAUCCUGAUAGAUUCCUUAAUCAUAUAAGUCACUGGUGAACAAUAAAGCACUGUUAAGAUUGCUUUAGAAAUUAGGU
RNAcentral lists this long non-coding RNA (867 nucleotides) under Felis catus (domestic cat). RNAcentral describes it as "lncRNA (ENSFCAG00000043597.2)". Lineage: Eukaryota; Metazoa; Chordata; Mammalia; Carnivora; Felidae. The record is from RNAcentral.